This is a long non-coding RNA of Frieseomelitta varia, 1818 nucleotides long. RefSeq lists it as uncharacterized. The record is from RefSeq and is a predicted model, not a curated record. NCBI's taxonomy places the organism in Eukaryota, Metazoa, Arthropoda, Insecta, Hymenoptera, Apidae. The transcript is spliced from 7 exons.
CCACUAUUGAUUGUUCAUAAUUAUUUCCCAUUCAUAAACUGUCAAAAUGUCAAGUUGUCGUUAUAUACACAUACGUUAAACGAUUUGGUACGAACAGUGAGAAAAAAAUGUUGAUGCAAGUGUCGCAAAGCUCCUUGACAAUAGUCGCUUUUACUAAAAAAUAAAUCCCCCAAGCCAAAGAAUUAAAUUUCAAUUAGAGUCUUUAUUUACAAGAUUGAAACAGGAGCCAAUACUUAUGGAUAUGAUUCAUGCGUAACAGGACAAUGAGCGUCAACAGGACAGGAACCGGUAACAGUAUCUAGAGUAUGUCUGGAAUGUAUAUUCAAAGCUGCUUCUGAAUGUACAGUUACAAUCGGCUGUGACGAAUCUGUUUGCGGACCGUUUCCUGCAACGUGACGGUAUUGAACUGACGCUGGCAAACCUGCUCUCAACGACAACUCAAAAAAAUAUGCGUAUGCUCAAUGUGAAAAAAACUAUUCUUUUUACGCAGCUCGCACAGGACAGGGCUACAUAGCGAAAUUUAUUCAGGAUUCUAACUGCAGUGAAAAUGUCAAAUGCUGCGAUUUUCUUUGUAUACGUCGAUUCGGAGGAUGCAGUGCCAGUUUGAAUUCAAAAUGUCAUGACACUUGCAAGCUUUGCAUGCUGACUUUUAGUAAACGAUAACUAAAUACAUAAUAAUGCAGGAAUAUUUUAUUUUAUAGACUAUACUGCGUAUAAAUGUUUGUCUAUCUCGAUAAAUUAUAAAAACUAAUGUACCAAAAUUAUUUUAUUUGAAGAAAAAAGAGAAAGAAUGUAAGAGUGUAAGAAUUUUAUUCGAAAUACAUUCAGAAACGUUACAUUAAUACAUUGUCGAUGAUACUUAUUAGCUGUAAUCUAAAAGUAGUUUGUUGUUUUCUUAUGAAACGUUAGUAUUACUGUAAAUUUAUAUUACUGCUAUAAUAUAUUACUAUAAUAUGUUACUACAUUUUCAACAGAAUUAUUAUAUUUUGUUGUAUUCUAAAUUUAAAAUCCAGUUUUUGCCCCCCGUCUGAAAUUAAUAAUUCAUCUACCAAUUCCAUUCUCUCUUUUAGCAUUCUCCUCUGUUCAUCCAAAAUUUCAUACGAAUGUAUAUUAUUUAUUAAAAAAUUUAUCAACAAACGAAGGCUCUCUCUGAAAGUCUCCAAUUAUAUAAAAAAGAUUGAAAAUAAUUUCACGUGACGAUAUAAUUCCCGUACGAGGGAGACACUAUUCACAGGCACAUUUUUUCCUAGUAAGUUUCCAAUAUUGAUUGUCCAUAAUUAUUUCCCAUUUAUUAACUAUGUGUGAAGAUAACAAGUUGAGUUGUAUACAUGUACGUUAAAUGAUUUGAUACAAAUAUGCUAAAAUGGAAAAUAAGAAAAGGAAAAAAUGAAUACGAACUUACGGUGACGCGUAAGCAUAAAACGAUAUUAACAUCCAUUUGUGAAUAAAUUUCUCAAAUCAAAUCAAUUAACAAUUGAAAACACGCACCAAAAAAGAAAAAAAAAGAUAAUGAUAACGAUAUACAGGAUGUUUUAUGGUGCAUAUUGGGUUCGGAUGUUAUUGUUGAAUCAGACGUGGGGAAACGGUGGCUUGGCCUGCGAGAUCACCAGACCCAACACCCUUGGUCUUUUGUCUCUGUGAAAAUGUAAAAAGAAGUUGAAACAUCGAAUUUCGUAACGUUCGGAGAAAUAAAAAACUGUGACACGCAGGAAGGGAACGUGACGCAAAACCUAAUUAAAAAAUUACAACUUUGCGUACGAGAAAACGGACGUUUUGAACGAUAUCUUGACUGAAAAUAAUAAACUAAAUUCAACGAAA